AUGAGCGUUCGAAUGGGAAAACGUGUCAGCAAUUAUCGGAUUUUAAGGUAAGGGAUGGAGUUAACCGUUAAAGCACCAGGUAAGCAGGUAGUUUUUAAUAAAAUAAGCUUAGUAUGUUAUUUGAAGUGCUAUAUCAUUUUUGUAAAUUAUGGUAUUUAACUGUGUUGUAUUAGGCUUAAUUUUUUACCUCCCUUGAAGGCUUGAGAAUGUCGAAGUUGACAUUUUUAUUUUAUGUAAAAUGGUCACAAACAUUGUAUUAAAUAAAAAUAAACAGGAAAAACGCCGUUACUUGGUAAUUAAAACGGAACAGCAACAUGCAUAUAAUACAUUGAGGAUGGUUGUCAUUUGUAAUCUUUGGAAAAUCAGGAGGCAUUGUCCUGGGUUGGGAACAUACUGGCCAUUUUACACUCUAGUGAAUAUGAGGAUUUAGGAAUUGUUUACCAAGUAUAUUUAGAAAACAGAUGCUUAUGAGAUAAAUAAAGGAUGAGGUGGAAGAAAAAAAAGAAUGGAAAGAAAAAAAUGUGACAAAAACACACAUAUGAUAGUAAUUGGAUGAAAUGGUAAUGGAGUGGUGUGGCAUUACUAUUGUUUAAAACUUUUUAGGAUUAUAUUUAUUAAUUUGCACACUUCUUUAAGAUGUGGUGUUGACGUUGUAAAUAUAAUUGUUAUAAUAGUAAGGCUUGAACUUUGUGUAUUGAAUACACUUAAAUACUGUUCUCUUUGUGUUUGGAAGAAGGGGCAAAAUAGAAGGUAAUGUUCUUCACUUCCAACCUGGUCAUUUGUACAUUUUGUGCAUUUUCUUUCGGUGCACGGGGUGCUAUCUUAUCUGCCUGUUUCGACUGGGAGGUUAUGGUUGGCUGUUCUGAUUUUGAAAAGGGUGCUUCGCUCACGCUGAGAUCCGUAGCUCAGGAUUGGAAGCACAGUGUGGUCGAAAAGCUUUAUAAUGAGGUCGAUUGGGAGGCUUGAGUUGUUUGCCCUUGUGAAAAGGAACGUUUGAAGUGCUGUGUUGUGAAAAAUGGACUGUAAUUUGCUGGUUAUGAAUUCAACUGUUUCUGUGGAUUGAGGGUUACACAAGGCGCCUCUCCCCCUUGUGCCUAUUUUGGAGAGUUCGAGGGAUUUUCACAGUUCGCGUUUUGGUGAUGAACAUUGUUUCCAUCCGUGUUAGUGUUAACAGUUUGGGGAGUUCUGGAAUUAACACGUGUUGAAGAUCGAUUAGUGUUUGCGUGGGUAUUUGUUGACGUUGAUGCCCAUGGGCGCUGGAAAGCAGAUUCCCCCGAGGCAGACGAUCUUUGACUAAUCGGGGCAUGUGUGCGUCUUCUUGCUGGAGCAAGAGAUUCAGACUUUCAAUAAGUGAAUUUGGAUCGACAUACUGUUUCGAGUUCUUAUGAAGAUUGGUGAUGUUUCUCACUUGAUAUGUUAACAAUUACAAAUAGAUUGCGACCGCUUCUACAAUAAUAAUAAAAAAUACAUGCCCUGGUUGUAAGGUCUGUCAGACAAAUGACAUUUUGCGGGUUUUGUGGGUGGAUGUCGUGUAUGAUGUUAAAAAUAGGUUCAAACUAUCGAUUGAGAAUAUUCUUACAGCAGACGUUAUGCUGUUAAAUCAUAAUUUAAAUAUAGGUGCAGGAAUAACAUAUCGUUUAAAAUGCGAUGAAAAUUUAUUAAUCUGGAGCACGGCUCAGUGCUGAAGAGUUAAAUUCCCGGAAAAUGCAAUUUUUGGUUACAUUUGACUCAUUUUGAUGCUUUCAAAAAACGAUAGUUUUCGUUUGUGAAUACAGUUUAUGAUAUUGAUAAAAAACGAAAGCAAGACCAUUUAUGUGGUUGCUAGUUCUUUGUAUUGAUUUCUUCAGGCUCCAUGUUGUAAGGUGAUGAGUAUCAUAUUUCACUUCAAGUAUUCAUGCUAUCCUGGGUUUCGUGAUUGUAAACUAUAUUUUCUUCACUCAUAUAAUUGUUUUAACCUUUUGAUAUCCAUACCCUUAGAAAGAGGUCGCUUGCA
This is a long non-coding RNA of Dreissena polymorpha, 1993 nucleotides long. RefSeq lists it as uncharacterized. The transcript is spliced from 4 exons. Lineage: Eukaryota; Metazoa; Mollusca; Bivalvia; Myida; Dreissenidae. The record is from RefSeq and is a predicted model, not a curated record.